AGAGAGAAGGAUUGCACACAUGCAAAACAUGAAUGCAAAUGCUAUGGAGAACAAUGGACAAUGGCAGCCACUAACUCAAGAGAGAAGGUUCACGCACAGGCAAAACAUGAAUGCAAAUGCUAUGGUGACCUAUGAACAAUGGCAACCACAAACUCAAGUCAGACACAUGCAAAACAUGAAUACAAAUGCUAUGGUGAACAGUGGACAAUGGCAGCCACAGACUCAAGG
This is a long non-coding RNA of Brassica oleracea var. oleracea, 228 nucleotides long. RefSeq lists it as uncharacterized. The transcript is spliced from 3 exons. The record is from RefSeq and is a predicted model, not a curated record. NCBI's taxonomy places the organism in Eukaryota, Viridiplantae, Streptophyta, Magnoliopsida, Brassicales, Brassicaceae.